GAUGAACGCUGGCGGCGUGCCUAAUACAUGCAAGUCGAGCGAACGGACGAGAAGCUUGCUUCUCUGAUGUUAGCGGCGGACGGGUGAGUAACACGUGGAUAACCUACCUAUAAGACUGGGAUAACUUCGGGAAACCGGAGCUAAUACCGGAUGAUAUUUUGAACCGCAUGGUUCAAAAGUGAAAGACGGUCUUGCUGUCACUUAUAGAUGGAUCCGCGCUGCAUUAGCUAGUUGGUAAGGUAACGGCUUACCAAGGCAACGAUGCAUAGCCGACCUGAGAGGGUGAUCGGCCACACUGGACCUGAGACACGGUCCAGACUCCUACGGGAGGCAGCAGUAGGGAAUCUUCCGCAAUGGGCGAAAGCCUGACGGAGCAACGCCGCGUGAGUGAUGAAGGCCUUCGGAUCGUAAAACUCUGUUAUUAGGGAAGAACAUAUGUGUAAGUAACUGUGCACAUCUUGACGGUACCUAAUCAGAAAGCCACGGCUAACUACGUG
This 497-nucleotide ribosomal RNA is filed under the name uncultured bacterium. Its description in RNAcentral is "partial 16S ribosomal RNA". It matches the Rfam family "Bacterial small subunit ribosomal RNA", at positions 28 to 507 of the family's 1533-position model. The record is from RNAcentral.